CCAAGUUUGCGUGUUAUGAUCGAAAUUA
Molecule: small RNA, 28 nt
Filed under: Bombyx mori (domestic silkworm)
Lineage: Eukaryota; Metazoa; Arthropoda; Insecta; Lepidoptera; Bombycidae
Description: ovarian small RNA-13474
Source: RNAcentral